Molecule: ribosomal RNA, 1000 nt
Filed under: Niphargus dancaui
Lineage: Eukaryota; Metazoa; Arthropoda; Malacostraca; Amphipoda; Niphargidae
Description: eukaryotic LSU rRNA
Rfam family: Eukaryotic large subunit ribosomal RNA
Source: RNAcentral
GAAAAGCACUCUGAAGAGAGAGUCAAAAGACCGUGAAACCGCUCAGAGUAUAAGCCAAUGGAGCUUGGAAGGCUUCCGCAGGUGAUGUCCAUCAUACGUGGUGUUCUUAAGACCUUGAGUGUGGCUCGUCAGGCGUAGCAUUGAGUUUGCCAGGUUUAGCUGUCGUGCGGGGGGUUCGGCUGGGAGGACUUCGGCUUCGGCCGGAGGGCUCUUCUGGUCGUCCCCUUUUGAAUGGACGUUCAGAACCUCUUGUGUCUAAUGCGGUUAUGCCCACCACAGCACGUUGUGAGGUCACCCACAGGCUCAACUGCCGAUCGCGCAUCCAGGACGAUGGCAACGAUGCGUUGUUGAUGAUGGUGGCUCGAGAGAGACCACACACACACGCGUGUCUAGUCCUGGGUCGGGCGGCGACCGAGAUAAACCUGGUACGAUCCUCUAGCGACGAGCUGCUUUCUGGCCAGACCGACGCCCAGGCGCUUCCACUGUGCCGGAAGCGUCAACCCCAGGCGGUGUGAACCCAGCUGCAUUAUGCAAGGUCUCUCAGCCGGGCGUUGGUCUGAGUGGUGUUAAGUCCAGCACCAUCGGUCACGUCUCGAAACACGGGCCAAGGAGUAUAGCAUGUGUGCAAGUCUAAGGGUCUCACAAAACCCGAAGGCGAAGUGAAAGCAAGACUGUGGCGGGGGAGCUACGGCGAACCCGCCGGCCUAGUGUGACGCGUGCGUCGCCUGGCUUUAACAGAGCUGAUCCUGUUUUCUCGGUUAAUUCUUGGUGCAGGCGCAAGCUCCGGGCUCACGUACAACACUGGUCACACGCCUCGCGUGUGUGGCUGUGUUGUGAGCACCGUGGAGCAUGCAUGCUAUGACCCGAAAGAUAGUGAACUAUGCCUGGCGAGGGCGAAGCCCCAGGAAACUGGGGUGGAGGCCCGUAGCCGUUGUGACGUGCAAAUCCAUGGUAUCAGCUGGGCAUAGGGGCGAAAGACCAAUCGAACUAUCUAGUAGCU